Molecule: ribosomal RNA, 332 nt
Filed under: Aphaenops vandelianus
Lineage: Eukaryota; Metazoa; Arthropoda; Insecta; Coleoptera; Carabidae
Description: Geotrechus vandeli partial 16S ribosomal RNA
Source: RNAcentral
UUAAAUGGCUGCAGUAAUUUGACUGUACAAAGGUAGCAUAAUCAUUAGUUUUUUAAUUAAAAGCUUGAAUGAAAGGUUGGACGAAGUAAAAUCUGUCUCUUUUUAAUAUAAUUAGAAUUUAAUUUUUAAGUUAAAAAGCUUAAAUUUUUAUAAAAGACGAGAAGACCCUAUAGAGUUUAAUAAUUUUUAUAAAAUAAUUAAUUUAGAUUUAUUACUUUUAUUUUAAAUAAAUUAUUUUAUUGGGGUAAUAGAAAGAUUUGAAUAAUUCUUUUUUUUUGUAACAUUAAUUUAUGAAAUAUAUAUAUAUGAUCCAUUAUUUUUAUGAUUAUAAG